AAGAUGAAGAGAAGGGUGGAUUUAUUGACAAGGUGAAGGACUUCAUUCAAGACAUAGGUGAAAAGAUUGAGGGAGCAAUUGGAUUUGGGAAGCCAACUGCAGAUGUUACUGAAAUUCACUUCCCCACAAUCAACCUUGAGAAAGCCGAGAUUGUUGUUGAUGUGCUUAUUAAAAACCCAAAUCCUGUUCCGAUCCCUCUCAUUGACAUCAACUACUUGAUCGAGAGUGAUGGAAGGAAACUUAUUUCGGGGUUGAUCCCAGAUGCUGGAACUAUUCGUGCACAUGGCGAGGAGACCGUCAAAAUCCCAAUUCAUCUGGUUUAUGAUGAUAUUAAAAAUACAUAUGAUGACAUUAAGCCUGG
RNAcentral lists this long non-coding RNA (361 nucleotides) under Populus trichocarpa (black cottonwood). Its description in RNAcentral is "long non-coding RNA (PTRI_LNC002055)". Lineage: Eukaryota; Viridiplantae; Streptophyta; Magnoliopsida; Malpighiales; Salicaceae. The record is from RNAcentral.